Penaeus monodon (black tiger shrimp) is the source of this 1498-nucleotide long non-coding RNA. RefSeq lists it as uncharacterized. Lineage: Eukaryota; Metazoa; Arthropoda; Malacostraca; Decapoda; Penaeidae. The record is from RefSeq and is a predicted model, not a curated record. The transcript has 2 exons.
AUGGUACUUGACCUGUAAUUAAACAAGACAACACACCCGUCACUAAAUACAAAAACAAGGACACUGAUAAACUUCACGUCAGUUUAUUUAACUAAAUAUUACGGCUUUAUACAUGAUGACACUCAAAAGAAAUUAGAUUUUAUGAAAAUGGAGACCAAUAUGGAGUGCCGAGGAGAAUGCCAAAUGGUGGAAGCAUUGUUUUUUUCUGUGCAAGCUGUCCAUGGAUGUGAUCAUUAGGAUUGUGUGCAAAAGGCCUUCUACACAGACUGAUCAAGAUACCUGACAACUGUCAACUCCUCCAGACUGACCUAGACUCCCUCAUAUAAUGGGAAACUGUAUGGCAAACAGACUUCAGGCUUGAUGAAAGCAAAACUACAUUUCACUUACUUAGAAACACCCAUAGAAUCCCCAUACUCAUCUCAACAGCUACCCAACACACCACACAAAUACGUAGGCAUCACACUACACACCAACAUGAACUUCAACACAUAGACAAUAUACAAUACGGAGCAAAUAGAACACUGGGGUAGACCGCACUUGUCCAUCCAAAACUGCAGUAUUGCACAGCAGUGUGGAACCCACUCACACAAGCAAAUAUUAACCCAAAACUGAUGGGCAUGGCAUAUACGUACAUGACAUGCCCACUGUGAGUUUACUUUAUUAAUUGUUUUUACACAUAGUUGGCUCCACUUGUACUAAGUCACCAAUGAGCCUAUUUUGAGUACUGAAUGUCUCACCAUUUUACCCUUUUCCUUAUUUUCACAAAUAUUUUAUGUUAUGUUAUAUUGCUGUCACAUAGUCUACUAACUUAUUUCUUUGUGGCUAAGCAAUUGCAGAGCCAUCUAUGUGCAGACAUUUCACACACACAAAAAUCUAAAAUGAGCACUGCAUUUUCCUGGGUUAAUAAACUGGAAAAGAUAAACACUGUCUCAGCCAUGUUCAUUACAAACAAUUACACCAUAAUUCCUGGUAUCCAAACACAUGUCAAACAACAAUUAAAUAAAGAUGCUCUCACAAUAUGCAAACAAGCACAUAGAUUAACAACUAUUUUCAGAAUCACAAAGAACCAAAUUGACAUAAAUGAAUAAUAUUACUUACACCACGCAAACACAACUAAUGCAUGUGAUGCUUACAGUAAACCAGAAGUACAUGACAUACCACACUAGUACAGAUUCCUUCAAACACUCAUACUUUCCACAAUGCAUUAUACAUGCAAACAAAGUAGACACCUUCCACCAACCUAUACAUGCACAUCUCAGAACACAUACAUAAACACCAAUGAUUAGCCACCCUUUCCCCCCUUUUUCCCCAACAUCCAAUGUCCUUUUAAGCAUGAUAUGCACUAACAUAUAUUGCCCUAUGCUUUAAUUAAUUUAAGAUUGAGAAGAAAGAACUACUGCUAUUUUGGAAAUACUCUAAACAAAGUAGUAAAACAUGAUUUUUUUCGCUGUAUCUCAGACAAAAGGGUUGGAAAUAGUCUAUGAAUAUAUGAGCACUG